CGUAGGUGAACCUGCGGAAGGAUCAUUAUUGUAUAACCGAGGUGCGAGGGCUGUCGCUGACCCGAAAGGUCGUGCACGCCCGAGUGCCCUCACACACAUCCAUCUCACCCCUAUGUGCACCACCGCGUGGGUCCCCCUUUGGCUUGUUCGGAGGGGGGCUUACGUUUUCACACAAACUUUGUAUGCAGUGUAGAAUGUAUUUUUUGUUUUUGCGAUCACGCAAUCAAUACAACUUUCAACAACGGAUCUCUUGGCACUCGCAUCGAUGAAAACGCAGC
RNAcentral lists this unclassified non-coding RNA (278 nucleotides) under plant metagenome. Its description in RNAcentral is "partial contains small subunit ribosomal RNA, internal transcribed spacer 1, and 5.8S ribosomal RNA". The record is from RNAcentral.